UUGGCCUCCAGGGCUACCAGUGGCUCAAGGACAAAGUGCAGAGUGAAGAUGGCAAGAAGCAACAAGCCAAAGUCAUGGACCUUCUUCCUGUCGCUCACCAGCUGGGCUGCACCGUGGCCCAGCUUGCUAUUGGUGAGACAUUGCACCCUGCAGGGGCCCUGUCUCCUCCUGACAUGCUCCCAAGCCCAUCCUAAAACUGGUUUGUCCCUAGGGAGGACGCUUGUCGUCAGAGACACUUCUGAAAUCUAUGUGGUCACUGUUCCCCAUCAGUCCUCUUUUUUUCCUCCUCUGGCCCCAGCGUGGUGUCUCCGCAGUGAGGGUGUCAGCUCUGUCUUGCUGGGGGUGUCGAGUGCGGAGCAGUUGAUAGAACACCUGGGCGCGCUACAGGUGCUGAGCCAGCUGACCCCGCAGACAGUGAUGGAAAUAGACGGGCUCCUGGGAAACAAGCCGCAUUCCAAGAAGUAGUCUGUCGCGGGCGCAGGGACCCAACCCGGUGUCGCUGCACCCGCCCGAGCCCCGCUCCUCGCAGCCGCCUCUCCCGCUCCGGAUCCCUCCACGCAGCGGCCGGAGCCAGACUAGCCCCGCCCACCAACGAGUCCCGGCUUCGAGUAGUGAUACGCAUGAACAAAGCCAUAUCCUUUCGCAGUGGGGUCGAGAGAGAAAGUAGCACGCCCGCCCCCUGCUGCGUCUUUCUAGGCCCUUCUUGCAAAUCCCGGGCAUGAGCUACUCGCCGUCGGCUCUCUGCCACUUCGUCUCGCCCCCUACUCUCCUCCCCUUAUUCCCGAGGCCCAGAAAAGAAAACAAAAACAAAAACCCAGCACAUACAAGAAACAUGCAGUGUACCUCAAAAGGGGCCCUU
Molecule: small RNA, 859 nt
Filed under: Pan troglodytes (chimpanzee)
Lineage: Eukaryota; Metazoa; Chordata; Mammalia; Primates; Hominidae
Description: retained intron
Source: RNAcentral